ACUCCUCGGGAGGCAGCAGUGGGGAAUAUUGCGCAAUGGGGGAAACCCUGACGCAGCAAUGCCGAGUGAGUGAGGAAGGCCUUCGGGUUGUAAAGCUCUGUCAGAUGGGAAUAAUUGCUUAGGGUCCAAUAGGCCCUAAGUUUGAAGGUACCUUCAAAGGAAGCACCGGCUAACUUCGGUGCCAGCAGCCGCGGUAAUAC
Molecule: ribosomal RNA, 200 nt
Filed under: uncultured bacterium
Lineage: Bacteria
Description: partial 16S ribosomal RNA
Rfam family: Bacterial small subunit ribosomal RNA
Source: RNAcentral